Molecule: transfer RNA, 73 nt
Filed under: Ixodes scapularis (black-legged tick)
Lineage: Eukaryota; Metazoa; Arthropoda; Arachnida; Ixodida; Ixodidae
Description: tRNA-Ser for anticodon GGA
Rfam family: tRNA
About the family: Transfer RNA (tRNA) molecules are approximately 80 nucleotides in length. Their secondary structure includes four short double-helical elements and three loops (D, anti-codon, and T loops).
Source: RNAcentral
UCCUGGUUAGCUUAGUUGGUAUUGCGCUCCACUGGAAGUGGAGAGGUCUCGGGUUCGAUACCCGGACCAGGCG